GUAACACAUCGGAACGUACCCAGUAGCGGGGGAUAGCCCGGCGAAAGCCGGAUUAAUACCGCAUACGCCCUAAGGGGGAAAGGGGGGGAUCGCAAGACCUCUCACUAUUGGAGCGGCCGAUGGCUGAUUAGCUAGUUGGUGGGGUAAAGGCCUACCAAGGCAACGAUCAGUAGCUGGUCUGAGAGGACGACCAGCCACACUGGGACUGAGACACGGCCCAGACUCCUACGGGAGGCAGCAGUGGGGAAUUUUGGACAAUGGGCGAAAGCCUGAUCCAGCAAUGCCGCGUGUGCGAAGAAGGCCUUCGGGUUGUAAAGCACUUUUGUCAGGGAAGAAAUCGUUCGGGCCAAUACCCCGGGCAGUUGACGGUACCUGAAGAAUAAGCACCGGCUAACUACGUGCCAGCAGCCGCGGUAAUACGUAGGGUGCAAGCGUUAAUCGGAAUUACUGGGCGUAAAGCGUGCGCAGGUGGUUCGUUAAGACAGUUGUGAAAUCCCCGGGCUUAACCUGGGAACUGCAAUUGUGACUGGCGGACUAGAGUUUGGCAGAGGGGGGUGGAAUUCCUGGUGUAGCAGUGAAAUGCGUAGAUAUCAGGAGGAACACCGAUGGCGAAGGCAGCCCCCUGGGCCAUGACUGACACUCAUGCA
RNAcentral lists this ribosomal RNA (647 nucleotides) under uncultured bacterium. RNAcentral describes it as "bacterial SSU rRNA". It matches the Rfam family "Bacterial small subunit ribosomal RNA", at positions 110 to 753 of the family's 1533-position model. The record is from RNAcentral.